UGCUUGCAUGAGCUAGUUGGGCGAAAACCAACGUGCUUUUCGAAGAGAGCAGAAAAUGAGCUCGAAAUCACAAGAAAUGUCGAAACUUGUUGCAAACAUGGAUGCAUAUCUUGCGCAGCUGGGCCUGUGCAGGAAAACAAUUGUCAGAGACGGGUCCUGUUUGUUCCGUGCGGUGUCGGAGAAGCUGUUCCUGACUCAGUCCUACCAUCUGAGGAUCCGGCAAAUGUGUGCAGAUUAUCUCUGGAGGCAUCGAGACGAGUUUGAACCUUUUAUUGAAGGUUCCUUUGAAGAGAGAAUUUUUAGAUUACAGAAUUCAAAAGAAUGGGCAGGCCAGGUGGAAAUGAUGGUACUAUCCAGACUCUAUGGUGUGGAUUUCAUUAUCUUCCAACAACCAGAGUGUCCUCCUGCCAAUGUAACACAAAAUAACUUUGUAACAAAGAUAUUGCUGUGUUUUGUUGAUGGCGUCCACUACGACAUUAUCUACCCAAGAUCCUUUGUACAGGACGCUGCCAUCUGUCAAUCAAUUCUGUAUGAGAUUCUUUACCACGGGGUGUUUGGACUGACGAAUGAGUUACAAGAAGCUGUGCUCUUUAUUCGACAGCAGAAGAAAAGCUCUCGGGAGAUACAUGAAAAUGGCUGUUUAUACUUGGAGACCUGCCACAGUGGAGAGAACAACUUCCUUACACGCCAUAUAAGCCGGUCCACGCCACCACUGCCGUAUCGGAUAGCCAAAGCUCUAGACCCAGUGUUUUUCAGAAACGUUGAACUUGACAUUAUUCAGGAGGAGAAGAGAGAAGCGAAGUUAAGAACUCAGCAAGGCAAGGACUUCAAUGGUUUUGCCCCUGGUGACAAGUGUCAAGUAUUGCUGGCCAGCCACACAGACAGACUCUAUAAUGCCCAUAUACAACACUUGUCAGAAAACCAGGGACCAGUGGAAGUCUUCAUAGAGGAACUUGGAGAAAAGAAAACGGUUCCAUAUUCCAGUCUGCGUUCAAUACCAGCUGCCUUGAAAAAUAGCUGCCUGCUGCCUCUGGAGGGAAAGAGUAAGAGAAAGAAAGGGAGUCAGUGUCUGAUGCCAGUUACUUCCGUGGACGUAGCCUCACAACACUACCACAUCUCGCCCAGCAGAUCCCCACUCACACGCUCUGUCUGGACACCCAACAAUAACAGCUGCCGCCCCCUUGACAUUGGGCAGAGAAUGCCGAUACCUCAAGCACCUGUUCCUGAGAGUUCAGAGCCCCUGGAGAACGGCGGUGGUGGUCAUUACUGCACAGUGCCUGUGUCGUCAGCCUCGUCCAGCACCAGCUCCCAGGCCCCCCUGCCUAUGACACAACCCCCUGUGUAUCUAGUGCCUGUAGUCAACGUACCCUAUGCUUCAUCCAUUGGUCAGGUGAACUUCAGUUGGGGACCAUCUCAAGAUCCAUAUGGCAAAGAUUUGCCCCUGUCAGAUAUGAACACACUGCGAUACUUCUUCAACCUUGGUAAUGAGUAUUCCCGAGUCAUAGCGAGUUUCCAGCAGUCACAGCAGCCGAUACUUCCACCACCACCGCCGCCACCCAUGAUUGGUCCAGUUGAUAUGUCAGCUCAGCCAAUGAUGUCACAUUAUGAUCAGGGUCAGUCAAGCAUGAGAAACAAGUUACCCGUUAAAACACAAAUCAGUCAAAAAACAUCUGAUUUCAAUCUAGCACCGAGUUGUGGGAAACCUGAUGUGAAGAAGGGAGGUAACUCUGUGUCUGAUCCUUACCGCGAGAAAGAGGCUGAAGAUGAGGGCUGUCUGUCCACUGACAGUGGUUGUGUUAGUGAGUGUUCAGGCAGUUUGAGCCCCUCCAAGCUGGAGAGUUCUACCGAGGAGGGAGACAUGGAGGGCAGUCAUAGUGUCUGUGGAAUUGAGGAGAAUCCUCUAGGAAGCACAGAAUGUAUUGAGAUUAAUAGUGAGGGGAAAGGAAAAGGUAAACGAAAGUAUUACAUGUAUGGCAAUCACAAACUGGUCAAACCAAUCAAAGAGAUCCCUCCAAGGUUCCAGGUGUUGCUGGCCGAGACGAGCGCGGCUAAAGCUCGCUGCGAAGGCCAGCCAAUCUACAUUCAGCAGUCUGAGGGCUUAAUUAGUUACGAUAAGGACAACUGCAGUAACCUGAAUGUUAAUGCUAACUGCUUUGUUCCUGGUCAGAAUAUCCCCAUGGAUAUGAACUGCGGCCUUCCUGCUGGCCUCACCUUCUUGCCUUGCACAUCCUUACAAGUCCCCCCUUCCCAGCAUCCCACAAUGCAAAGCGUACCUCCUACGCUGCCGUCGACCAUGGUAGGGCCUCAUCACCAGCCGCUGUUCUCAGCCCCCCCUCCCAACACGGUACCCCCCUCCAGCGUCCCGAACGUUCUGGUGAGCUCUCAACCCCUGCCUAGCACUUCUGCAUGUCCUCCUCCUCCUGCUUCCCUUGCUAACAAUUACACAAAUGGUGGUGGUUCUUGCUAUUAUGUCUAUCCGUCUUCUCCUUCCACAGGCUUUGCUCCCAUCCCCGGCACACCUUCCCAAGGUCAAGGUCAAGUGGUGUACAUGGUAGGCCCCUCGUACCCCACUCCGCCUGUCCAGACCUUCCAGCCAGGGCUGCCCCCUGUCAACUACAGCGUCAGUGUACCCUGCCCGGCGGCUUCCCAGUAACGGCAAAAGAAGAUGGAGUCUUCGCUAGUGCUACUCCUAGCUUUGUUAGUGCGCACUGUUAUCAUCCUAAACUCGACAAUUUUAGGUUGUCUGGCUGUCUAAUUCCAUAAUUCUUAUUUGGCAAAGUCUGAAAUUUGGACUACAAUUUUUACAUUUUUGCAAAAUAAAUUUAGCAUUUUGAGUCAAAAGUUUGAUAUUUUUAGGGCAUGUUUCUGGAAAUGAAACUAGGGCCAGAUUUUAAUGUAUUUAGUUUGUAUGGAUAUAAACAUGCAAGGAAGUCAAGGUUUUAGGAUAUUAACAGCUACGUAGUGCCAUCAGUUUUAGGCUAAUUGUACUUGGUGUUUAACACUAAUAUUUUUAAGCCAUCUUCAUAGCAUAACAUUAGAGCUUGCCAUUACUAGUCUUCAUAUUGCCUCAGUCGACUGGGAAGAGAGCAGGAAUGGACUAGUCCAUUGUGGAGUGUGGAACCAUGGCGACAAAAGGACAGGUCUUGUUUAAACAUAGUCUUGAGUCAAAGGACAUAUAUGAUGUUAACGUGCCAAGAACUGUUGUUGCAGAUUUUCAAAUGAAAGAUACUUGCAUAUAUAUAUAUAAGGAAGAACUUUGGUGGAAAGGGACAUGAUUGCAUCUGAUUCAUGAUCAUAGUGAAUCCUCACGAAGUGGCGUGUUUUCCUUACUGAAGUGAGCAAUCUGUGUCAUCGAAGUCGUGGACCUGAAUCUCAAGCAGGACAUUUCCGUGAAACGUACACAUUCAAUUCUGAGACAGUUUUGGAAUGCGAUACAAACCAUGUUUGAAAGGCAUUGCCAAAUGCUUUUUGAGAUGAUUGGCAGUUUUGAUGACAUGUCCGUCAUCAGACAAUUAAAGAGACGACCAAACAUGAAUACGUGUCUCCUGAACACAUUGAUAUGGAUUACCACAGUCCUCUACUGAUGGUAGACUUGUGAUGUACCCAUGGUAUGAGACGAAUUGUGACGAUACCCCAAUGCUUGUUGUCAUACACGUGCAUUGGCAUUACUUGAACAAAAGGAGAGAUUGCCUCUGUUUAGCAUUUUCAAAAUUAAAAAGCAUUUAGUUUGAGUGUUUUGUUAUGUCAGAUUAUUAAAGAUAUUUAUUUCCAUGUUUGUUUUUGUUAUGACAACUAUAUAGGACAUUAGUUUUCUCCCAUUGUGGAGCUGAUCAUUUUAGAAAGUCUGGAAUCUGCUUAUGUUUUGAAAGACUUUCCUGUCACCUUAGGGAGCAUUGAUUGUGUCCCACUUGUUCAUUCAGUUGUUCCUACAAAAUAAGUUUGAUAUCUUUGAUGGAAAGUUUGAAUACUAUACAGUUUAACAGGUGUUAAAAGUUGAAUGUUAUUAAGUCAAGAUAUAUAUAUAUUUUUUAUGCAAUUAUCACAUUUGAGAUUUAAUUUUGUUGAUUGUAGGUUAGACUUUAAUGUUCGUUAUUAACAUAACUGUGAAUAGUGAUGUCAAUUAUUUUAGUUAGUUUAUUAAGAGAUCCAGGUGUAAAACUAAAGAAAUCUUUUCCCUAUUUUCUGUUGUAAAUAUUGAAGGACGAAUGAAAAUACCCUCAGUAGGCUGAGUUUCAUCAUACAGAGUUUGAAUUGUGAACUCAUCCAGUUACACGAUGGUGUUCUCUGGGGAGCAUUUUGAAAUUGUUAUAUUUGAAUGUCUUAAUAUGAUUUAAUUUUUUGAUAGAACUCCUCAAUAUAUUUUGAUAUGAAAAUUUAGAAUUUGAAAUUCAUGUGUAACUCCUGGAGAGCUUUGAUAGGUAUUUUACUUCACUGGUUGUGUCUGGAUCUAUGGAGGCUUCAGAAUAUUUACUUCCCUAGAUUCACGAGUUCUUUUAGUACUUUAAUGAGAACUGUGAUACCUCCACUUUUCUUUUUGAAGUAUCCAAUAAACACGAUUGCGUUAAAUGGUUACUUCACAUUGUAAAUCUUCAUAAGGAAGUCAGUAUUUUUGACAUGACGACUUUGUUACGGUACUAUAAUUGACAAAGAACUCUGAAAGCAGCAAACAUUGUAAGAAUAUUUAGGCCAUCUCUGAGUGAAGGGAAUUUUUAAGUCCUGGGUGUAGAACAGUUGUCUCCCCCUGAUCACGUGGCGGUGAUUCGGUAUUGGUCAUGUUGAAGUAAAUUGAGCCAGGGGAAACAGGUUUUAUUGACUUCUUGUGACUGAUAUUUUUUUUAUAGUAUAUAUAAAAGAAUUGUUAUUCAGAAUAUUGACAUUUAAAUAUACGUUUGGCCAGUAUUGAAGACUUCCAUGGUCAUUGUGGCCAGGACAGCCAUCUCAACAGAAGUUUUCAGAGGCUUUGUACCAGCACAUGGCACAGAUAUGUGAGGUACAGGCGGAGUCUUUUCACGUAUAUUCAGUGCUGAUUAUGUUAAUAUAUGACUUUCCUAUCUGCCUUCACGAUGACACAAGGAAGCUUUAUCUCGCUAUGCUACAAAAAUAAUUCUAUAUUGAACCUAAUUGUGUGAAUGAGUAUUAAUCAAACUGUAGUAACUGUCUAGAGUUUGAGUAGGGCAGCACAGCACCUGGCCUAGCAGCAACCCUGGGGGCGUUAACAUGUAGAGUAUAGACGUCUACCACAGUUAUAGAGAAAUGUACCGUGGCCGAAAUCGUUAUUCAGAAACAAACCUCAGCUGACCACAACAUGGCUAAUAGUGAUUGGAUGAGUUCAUUAAACAAUGUGUGAAACCAAAUUCAGUUUCAAUUGUAACGUAAGCCUGAAUUGCAUUUAUUGGAAAAUAAAUGAUAGUGGUACAGGUUUAAGAUAAAUGUUAUGAGAAGAUACAUUUCUUCAACUCUCACACCAGCCACUAUUGAUUGUUACCAUGAUUUGGCACACCUGAAGCCUGCAGAGGAAGCUAUUCAACACAUCGUUGAAUGAGUGGACUUGGCUAGUGGCUCCAGUACCAAGCUGUGGACAGUUAGGGUACGUUUCUCUAUUCUGAUUUCAGCCCUGGUUGAAUUCUGUAUGUAUACCAAAAGGGUAGUGGGGUACCCAGGUGGUAAAAGCUUGCUCGUCCCUCGCCAAAGGCUUAGUUAGGAUUAAUACCAUUUCAGCUGUCUCCUGUCUCCUGUUUCCUGUCGGGAUUUUGCUGGAAUUUUGCUAAAAGCUGUGUGAAACCAUACUCACUCACUGUGUACCCCAAAGUACCUUGGUGCAUUUCUGUUGUACUCUAUACUACUAAAGGGGCGGUCGGGUAGCCUAGUGGUUAAAGCGUUCGCUCGUCACGCCCAUUUCGGGUGUCCCCUGCCGUGAUAUUGCUGGAAUAUUGCUAAAAGCGGCGUAAAGCAAUACUCACUCACUAUACUACUAAAACACUUGCACAACAACAGCAGCAGCAGCAGCAGCAGCACCACGAGAGAUGUGAAUGUCUAGUCAUGUCAGAUGGGACAAUUGAAUCAAUUCAUUAUUUCAUGAGCUCAGCAUAAUAUGGGCCAGAUCUCCAAAAUCAUGUAUUGUACUUAAUGUUUGUAAAUUCCCCUAUCUUUCUGGAUACAAAAUCGUAGACAAACAUGUAAAAUCUGGAAUUAGGCAAAUGACUUUUUAUGAAUGUUUUUUUCCUUUUUAUUUUGUAUUAAAACUGACAUUCAAUAGAUCAGACUUAUUUUGUAGAUGUUUUCAUAUUUGAAAUAUUUAUUGUUUAUUGGUUCAUGGUUGCUUUGAAUUAUUUUGAUGUAUAACUUGAUAUAUCCUAUAAGAGAAUACUUUGCCAGAUUCAUAUUGAAUUGUUGCACUUGCUUGACUAUGCAUUUUAAGAAAUACUGCUGUUUAUAAGACCACGAUUCAUUAACAUUGUGUACUAUGUAUAGUCAUUGCUUGGAAACAUCAGCACAGACAUGUCCAAAGGUUUCCAUCUUGAACUUAAUAACCAGACCAGUUUAAUAGUAGUCACCUGUUUGAAUCUGGCUACCUAACAUUUGUUGUGUCAAUUGUUUGAUUUUGUGUAAUUAUUGUGUUAUUUAUGCAUUAGUUUGUCAAUCAUUCUUGUCCUGUGUCAAGCGUAGUUCCUUUGAAUCACAAUUUGUACAACGAACGUGUGAUUGGUGUGUUCGCUGAGUGGUCACCCUGCAAACAGGAACAAUAACGAAGUCAGUGCAAGUGUUUUUUCAGAAAAAUCUGGUCAAAUAAUGUACUCCUUUAUUCAGGGGUUGUUAAUAUCCAUUAAAAAUAUUCCUGAUUAGAAUUUGUUUUGUUUUGAAUGUUUUUUGUGAAAAGAAAUUAUUCCUGUACAGGGAGCGGUUGUACAAAACCUUAGCACUACGACGGUCGUAAUUCUGUUAGAGCUAAGGUGAUCGUAACUACCAUACCUUAAGAUCGCUUUGUAUAACGGCACCCAGGUCCACAAUGAAGAAAGAAAUGCCUUAAUUAUUUGACCCAAACCAUGUUUAUUAGGUUUAAGCAUAAGCAUGUGUAAAGGUGAAGUUUAUGGUACUGUAAUUCGACAACUGACGACGUUCCAUGAAGCCCUCUUCACACUGUGACUGUCGUGAAAGUAAUAAGUUGUCAGACGCUAACAUCUUAUUCUGAAUCUAGGCUCCUGGUAUGGAAUGAUUGCAGUCUACAUCUAAUCACGCUUUAAACUCUUGAGAGUAGUCUGCGAGAUACAUUUAUGAAUGUAUUAGAAUGUGUGACUUUUUUUCAAAUUAGAUUAAUUUUGCUAGAUUAUUUGGAUUUGAUUAAAUAUAAACUUGUGAUGCAGUAUUGCAAAUCAAGGAUGAGACUUUUCCGUGGAAUUCCGUGGGAACACCAACUAUAUCAAUACAAGAUAUAGCUGUUCACCGACUCAGCUGAUCAUGGGUCAUUGUGACCUGGUGUGGAUUGUUGCUCAUGUUAUCAGCCACUGGUUUGUUUGGUCUAUUCUCGAUUGUUGUGCACGCAGCAGUGAUAUAUACCAUUCACCUUGAUAGGGACAUUCUUGUUAUUUCUUAAUAUACAGAAAUAUCCCUAUCAGUUGUUGAGUGGCAUAGUUGGAAUAUUGAUGACUGCAGCAUUGCAGUUACUGUAAUUAUUAACAUUACCUAUUGUAUUAUUAGUAUAGAAUGAACGUGUGUUAUAACUACUGGUAUCUGAUAUCUGCACAUGAACACUGGUCAUGAUUGGUCAAUUAAAGCCAUAUGAUGUCACAGUGCUUCCUUAAUUGUUGAGGAAAAUAUGACAUGGCAUCAUCCAUUGUUCAUGACAUCACAAAUUGUGUACAUUUUGAACAUCUGCCUUUUGUGAAGCUUCUCUGUACAGAUGACAGUACAUACGUUUUUUCCUUCACUUUCUCCAUAAACAUAACACUGAGCAACACUGAAUAACCUCCUCGUCAUUACGGAAUGUCUGUCUGUCCCUAGUGAAUGAAUGCUGUAUGUCGCUUGCCAAAUGCUGGGAUUAAUACUAGGGCUGGGACGAGUCCAAAUUUACUACCCGGGUACCCACACCCCUAUUACCCGACCCUACCCGGGUACCCGCUGUUGGUCUAAAGAGAUAGGUACAAAAUGUCCGAUUGGGAAUAGUUUGACAGUAGCCCUGGCAGAAUGUAUUUGUACUUGUAUAAAAUGAUGUGGUCAUGCAUACACUGAAGUUGACUGCAGUUUUAGCUUUGUUCAAACCUAUUUAAAUCAAAAGGUACUUGUUCAUAGUCAUAAAGAAAUGCGAACAUUAGAGACUUAAAAUUGUCGUGUAACCAUGUAGUUAUAUAGUGAAUUUUUGUCAUGAAACAAUAUAUCAUGUGACUAACCACGGGGCCGGGUUGUCCUGUGGGUACCCAGGUCCUACUCGGUACCCACCCAACCCGAGUACCCGAGUUACCCGUCCCACCCGUCCCACCCGUCCCAGCCCUAAUUAAUACUAUUCAUUCACUCGGUACAGAUAAUCCCUAAUUCCUUGUAGCUUGUUGGUUGUUCUGUAUAUAAGCUCUGCAAUAAUGGAGAUUGUUCAUUGUAUGUCGACUGUCGUACAACAUGUGAUUACCUCGUGUGAUUCCUGUAGUUUUAUGUUGAUCAAUGUUCAACAUUCUGUAUUAAUUAGUUGUUGUUAAUCAUGAUUAUUCUUAUAAUUUAUUGCAUUUAGAUUGUUUGUCUGUUAUGUAGUUUGUUUGUUGAAAUUGCAACUUCUUACCCCAAAUCUAUUAUUAGGCAUUUACUAAGCAUUGUACCAAUACAAAUAAAAACCACAGAUGAGUAAAAAUAUAUAUAACAAAUCUAAGAUCAGUCUUGAGUAACUUUCCCACUUCUGCUUAGUUUCAUUUAUUUGAAGCCAUUUAAAAAAAGUCAUGUUUUGAAAUAAUGGAAACUGAAACAUUAAUAUAAUUUAGAUAUUAUUGAGUAAUUUAGGUAAGUUAAAUGAAUGAAUAUUAAAUAUCUAAGAGGUGAGGUCAUGAUAGACAUUUAACUAAGUAUUUUAUUUUUGAGUAAUUUAGGUAAGUUAAAUGAAUGAAUAUUAAAUAUCUAAGAGGUGAGGUCAUGAUAGACAUUUAACUAAGUAUUUUAUUUUUGAAAGUUUUAUUUAGUUGCCAAGCAGUCAAAAUAUAGAAAUGAAAUCAAACUUUCUCUUCCUUUAAGAGUGCACAGAAAUACAGAUAUUAAAAGUAGAAGUGGUUCUAAAGCUGAGAGGGGAAAAUAGUCCAUGACCUUAUUUUCUUUUCCUUUUUUCACAAAUUCCUUUGUCUACAGAAAUAUGGACUUUGAUGCUGGUGUUGACCAAUGAUUAGGAGCUUUACAUGAAGCUGCUCUCGUCAUUCAUGUUGUCCGGUAACUUUUACUGUCAGUUAUAAGUUUAUGCUGUGAACAGACUUCAUAAUUGUGGAAACAAAAUUGUACCUAAUUGGUUUUAGUUUUGAAAAAGCAAUAUUUAAAAUGUGAAAUUGGAAAGAUAAAUAAAUCUAAAUGUUUGUUGAUAUUAAAGGGACAAUACCAGAAAGAUAGCUCGAUAUUAGAAAUAGUUGUUCAAAAAAGAUUACAUUGCGCAAUUAACGUGUUAAUUUCUCAAGUAAAUUCUAUUCAUUAACAUUCUUUUAGUACAUUUUGAUCAUUUUAGUGUGACAAAGUGUCAAAAUAUUAUUUUCUUUGUAGACCUUCUUGUAUGUUGAUUGGUUACAAUGAACUCAACUUGCGUUUCAAUUUGUCGAGUUGUUACUGUUCAAUUAUUUGUUGCUGAGCUUGAGGAUGACGGGACUAUUUCUCCCUGUGUUGUGUCUGUUUUCGUCCAGUCUGACUUGUCACUUCCAACCUGUGUGCAAUGUCACCGUACUGUAGGAAAACCUGUCGGUAUGAUGUCCUCAAAACGAUAAUUACCUGACGUCUAACCCUCUUUGUAUACAUAUACUACUCAAAAGAAGUCAAGGGUCGCCAUUUUUUUAUAUCUUUUUUUCCUGAUUUAUAUGAAACAUUUGGGUGGCCCUUUACUUCUUUUGAGCAGUAUUUAUCAUUUAAUAUUCAUAACAGUGUUCGCUAUGUGAAAAUAUAAGACAUGCAGCAAGAUUCGCUGGUAAUUUUACUCUAUGCAGUGAUGUUUUCGUGUGUGGCAUAAUGGGGUGAUGGGGUGGCCCAGUGGGUAAUGUGAUCCACAGGUUUUGUUCCCCACAUGGGUCCAAAGCCCUUUAGUCCUGAUAGUGAGAGAAUAUUACUCAUCUGGAAUUCCUACUAAUUUAUAUCUUGAAAGGAGCUAUCUGCUCGUAAAACAAAUCUUGUAUUUUCUUAGCUAAAGAAGAUGGAAGCCGCCUAUUUUCAGAUUUAUAUUUGGAAUUUUAUGAUUUUGUAACCCCGCAAACAGUUGUAAAUAUUUAUCCUGUUUGAAUUCAUAGAGCAAUAACAAUAUUAACUUAAAUAAUUGUUUAUGUAGGAGGUUUAGUUGUGCCUGAUAUUACUAAGUUCAAUGUAUAUAGAAAGUUAAAUUUAGCCAAAAGAAAAAAAACCCAAGACAUUACCAUAUUCCAUCAAAUGACCCCCCCAGGUUUUGAACCAAGGAGAGUAAAACUGUGUGCUCAGUGCUAAAGACAACCAAUCUAGCUGACUAAAAAGUGCUAGAAAUUCAGCAGGCUAAGGGUUAACAGAACAGUGAUAAUUCUGAUCAGAAUCUGAUGUUAAUUGUAUGCUUGUCGUAAGAUGUGACUAACGGGAUCGGGUGGUCCGCCUUGCUGACUUGGUUGACGCAUGUGAUUGUAUCCCAGUUGCGAAGAUCGAUGCUCAUGUCAAUCACUGAAUUGUCUGGAGUGCGGUGUUACCACAACAAACUGAAAACAAACAAACAAACAUCUUUAUUGAUGUAUGCUACUCAACAUUUACUUAGGACCACACUUUUGACUAAAGAUGACUUUUGUCCUUAGCAAAUGUUGAGUAGUAUAUAAACGUGUUAAAUAUCAUGUGAUACUUUGUAUUGGAAUCUAGUAUUGAAAAUCGGCAGAUGUUAUGGAAUGGCUUACAUCGCACACUCAAUAGGUACAGAACUAUCAUGAUGAAAUCAGUUUGUUAGUGACCCAAGGUUGUAUUUCAAUUAAGUGUACAUUUUCAUGUUCAGUUAUGCAAGAAUGUGUCUUCAUUAUCACUUCCAAGAUGUCUUCCAGAUCAUGUGAUGGUAGUCAUGGUGAUGGGAAUAUGCUUCUCUGUUUGACCAUUGCUGUCACAUGACUGCUUGAACCUGGAUAUCAUAUAUAAAAAACACCAUUAUUGCAAAUAUGUCCAUUCUGUGUGAUGGAUGAUCAAAGCAAUCAUUGUGCAUCAUGGGACUCGCUGGAUGGUGACGACCCAGUUCCUCGAGUCUCAUGUUGACAUCCAUCUGUUCCGGUGCUGGUGACUGAAUCAAGUCUGUUGUAUUGUGUCAGUGUGUUUUGUCCUCAAAUAAAUCAUUAGAAGUU
RNAcentral lists this unclassified non-coding RNA (11498 nucleotides) under Haliotis rufescens (red abalone). RNAcentral's name for it is "putative bifunctional UDP-N-acetylglucosamine transferase and deubiquitinase ALG13, transcript variant X3". The record is from RNAcentral. Lineage: Eukaryota; Metazoa; Mollusca; Gastropoda; Lepetellida; Haliotidae.